Molecule: non-coding RNA, 89 nt
Organism: Lentinula aciculospora
Lineage: Eukaryota; Fungi; Basidiomycota; Agaricomycetes; Agaricales; Omphalotaceae
Source: the annotation of a GenBank genome assembly
UCCAAUGUGGUGUAGUGGUUAACAUUGCUGUCCUUCACUAUUUUCAAUACUUUGCACAGCAGCCCAGGGUUCGAUUCCCCGCAUUGGAA